This is a non-coding RNA of Ameiurus melas (black bullhead), 73 nucleotides long. Lineage: Eukaryota; Metazoa; Chordata; Actinopteri; Siluriformes; Ictaluridae. The record is from the annotation of a GenBank genome assembly.
CGCAUGGUGGCUUAGCGGUUAGCACAUUGGCCUCACACCUCCAGGGGCUGGGGUUCGAUUCCCACCGGGGCGG